This 253-nucleotide ribosomal RNA is filed under the name uncultured bacterium. RNAcentral's name for it is "partial 16S ribosomal RNA". It matches the Rfam family "Bacterial small subunit ribosomal RNA", at positions 524 to 776 of the family's 1533-position model. The record is from RNAcentral.
UACAGAGGUCUCAAGCGUUGUUCGGAUUCAUUGGGCGUAAAGCGCGCGUAGGCGGCCUUGUAAGUCCGUUGUGAAAGUCAAAGGCUCAACCUUUGAAAGCCGAUGGAUACUGCAAGGCUGGAGUCCGGAAGAGGCGAGUGGAAUUCCUGGUGUAGCGGUGGAAUGCGCAGAUAUCAGGAGGAACACCAAUAGCGAAGGCAGCUCGCUGGGACGGUACUGACGCUAAGGCGCGAAAGCGUGGGGAGCGAACAGG